This 525-nucleotide ribosomal RNA is filed under the name uncultured cyanobacterium. Its description in RNAcentral is "bacterial SSU rRNA". It matches the Rfam family "Bacterial small subunit ribosomal RNA", at positions 41 to 583 of the family's 1533-position model. The record is from RNAcentral. Lineage: Bacteria; Bacillati; Cyanobacteriota.
GGUAUGCUUAACACAUGCAAGUCGUACGAGGUGUAAAUAAUUCACUUGUGAAUUGUUUAUUACUACAGUGGCGCACGGGUGAGUAACACGUAAGAACCUGCCUUUUGGAGGGGGAUAACAUAGGGAAACCUUUGCUAAUACCCCAUAAAGCUGAGGAGCUAAAUCGCAUUUGCGGCCAAGAGAGGGGCUUGCGCCUGAUUAGCUAGUUGGGGAGGUAAUGGCUUCCCAAGGCCACGAUCAGUAGUUGGUCUGAGAGGAUGAUCAGCCUAACUGGGACUGAGACACGGCCCAGACUCCUACGGGAGGCAGCAGUGAGGAAUUUUCCGCAAUGGGCGAAAGCCUGACGGAGCAAUACCGCGUGAAGGAAGAAGGAUCGUGGUCUGUAAACUUCUUUUCUCAGAGAAGAAGAUCUGACGGUAUCUGAGGAAUAAGCACCGGCUAACUCCGUGCCAGCAGCCGCAGUAAUACGGAGGGUGCAAGCGUUGUCCGGAAUGAUUGGGCGUAAAGCGCCUGUAGGUGGUUUUU